RNAcentral lists this ribosomal RNA (253 nucleotides) under uncultured bacterium. RNAcentral's name for it is "partial 16S ribosomal RNA". It matches the Rfam family "Bacterial small subunit ribosomal RNA", at positions 524 to 776 of the family's 1533-position model. The record is from RNAcentral.
UACGUAGGGAGCAAGCGUUGUCCGGAAUCAUUGGGCGUAAAGCGCGCGUAGGUGGCCUCAUAAGUCCGCUGUGAAAGUCAAAGGCUCAACCUUUGAAAGCCGGUGGAUACUGUGAGGCUAGAGUACGGAAGAGGCGAGUGGAAUUCCUGGUGUAGCGGUGGAAUGCGCAGAUAUCAGGGGGAACACCAAUAGCGAAGGCAGCUCGCUGGGACGUUACUGACACUGAGGCGCGAAAGCGUGGGGAGCGAACAGG